RNAcentral lists this long non-coding RNA (791 nucleotides) under Gossypium barbadense (sea-island cotton). Its description in RNAcentral is "long non-coding RNA (GBAR_LNC003489)". Lineage: Eukaryota; Viridiplantae; Streptophyta; Magnoliopsida; Malvales; Malvaceae. The record is from RNAcentral.
AAAUCUAAUUUUGUUUAAGUAAUUGUUUCGAUUUUAUUAGUAAUAAGAUUUCGGAAAAAGAAUUUAUUUUCUAAAAAGAAAUUUUUUUUUCCUUCUCUUCUCUCAAAUACGAUUGCCACCGUUCAGGCCACCGCGCCGGAAAUAGCUUAGUCCAAAAAUCAUACACUUUCAAAUCCUUAACGAACUCCAUCCAAAGCCAAUGAACAACAAUAAACGUCAAUAGUCAAUAACCAAUCAAACAAUUUUUUUUAAAAAAAGGAAAGACCCUGUUUUGAAGACCUUUUUUCGAUCAAGGUCUGAUUCAUGGAGAUCUCGUCACUUUCUUGACGAUUCGGAUGUUGAAGCUCAAGUCCAUGAUGCGGUAGAUAACAUAUUGGAAACCCGCUGCCAUCCGACGAUAGAGCUACGAGAUCGAAAAGAGAAUAGUUCGGGUUUAAAGGUUAAAUUUUGAACUAAUUGUGCUGAAUUCUCAAAGAUCGAAACCGUUGAAAUUCGCGAGAGGAAGAAAAUAGAGUAAUUAGUGGUACCCGAUCAGAGUUUAAACGCCGGAGAUGAUAGCUCUCAACUGUCUUUAUGGCGAUGCUGAGGUUUCGAGAAAAAAAAAAGAAACAUAAGGGGAGAGAGAGAAGGAAGACGCCAGCACAGAUUAAGGACACCGACAGUGUGAACGGAUCAGGGACUGCUACAACAGCGUGGCUUGAAGGAAGGUGGCUAGGGUUUUUGUGUUGAAGAAAAAGAAAGAAGAAAAAAAGAAAAUAAAAUUGAAGGAAAGAAACUAUAAAGGGAAAUAA